RNAcentral lists this long non-coding RNA (433 nucleotides) under Anas platyrhynchos platyrhynchos (common mallard). Its description in RNAcentral is "lncRNA (ENSAPLG00000017908.1)". The record is from RNAcentral. Lineage: Eukaryota; Metazoa; Chordata; Aves; Anseriformes; Anatidae.
UGGGCGUGUAGGUGGGUUGGUGAUUUUUUUCAGACUUGAAGCUUUUCUUCAGACUUGGGCUCUUGCCUGAAAACCAAAACCAGGAGCUGAAAGCACAUUGUCCACCCUGCCCAAAGGAGGAUUGCAGCAGUUUGACCUUGUCCAUUCAAUUUUUGGCUUCAGAGAACUCCAGCUUAUGUAACUAAACUCUUGACACAAAGCAUACACAGCAGUUGCUCUUUACAUGCCUUUGAGAAACAGCUGCUUGGGAGGACAGAGAUGGCAACAGAAGAUGGCACUGUGCAUAAGGUAAGUUUUAAGAGCAACUGCGGGGCUCAUCCCAGGGGAUGCACAGAGCCAAGCUUGGCACUUGGCUUUAUGUAAGACUGCAGAAGUGGUUGGGAUCACACACCUGCAAAGAUGAAGUGCAAACACAGCAGCAUGCACCACGCUU